Brassica napus (rape) is the source of this 862-nucleotide long non-coding RNA. RefSeq lists it as uncharacterized. The transcript is spliced from 3 exons. NCBI's taxonomy places the organism in Eukaryota, Viridiplantae, Streptophyta, Magnoliopsida, Brassicales, Brassicaceae. The record is from RefSeq and is a predicted model, not a curated record.
UUCUUCCAUUAGACGAUUCUCUUCUUCUCUUCCACUAUUUCUCUUCUCCAUUCCCAGAUUUUCGUAGCCGCGAGUCCUCCCUUACGUCUUCCUUAUGAAUCAGUAACCAUUGCUCUGUUGUGACUUGAGCUGUACCAUUGUGAUCAAAAUAGAAAAAAACUAAGCUUUAGGAACAAAACUCAGAGAAGGAAUGGUUAUGCUAUAGAUUAGAUAAGCAAGCUUUGGUGAUCUUUGUCAUGUUCUCUGGUAGAUUUAAUAUGUAUUUGCUUGUGUGUAUUUGCUAAAGCCGAGCUUUUGUUAAUUCAUUAAGCUCCUGCUCUUGUUUUCUAGUUCCACAAAUGGCAAACGUUUCUAAAAUUAUUUAAUCUAAGGUUCACUUAAUUCACGUGUGGAACUUUAUGUGUGGAGCUUAAUGGACAUUUUUUUUGUUCGUGUGGAACUUUAUGAAAUAGUUUUUAAUUAUUAUAUUAGAUAGAUUCUGUAAUGUGCUUGCUUACUUGGGUUUCCUGAGUUACUUCAUAUGUAUCGUUUUAAGUUUUUAAGUUUUGUUGAUAAAGAGAAGGAGAAAGAAGAAGAGAGUGGAGAGUCUAUAGACUUGAAUUGAGAAACCAGCAUUUUCAUUCACUUGCUGCCUCAGCUUGGUCUUCAGGCUGCAAAUAAGAGGAGACAAAGUCACAAAGCUGGAACAAAGUGAAUUCAUAAACAGUGUUGUUAAAAACUUAAGUCAUUUGAGAUUGUUUCAGAUUUUCAAAAUUUUAAUGUUUUUUAAAGUUUCAAAAUUUUAUUACUCAAUUUUGGAUAUUUCUAUCAUAUUUCAAUGUUGUUUAAUAUUUAAAAUGAGCUUAAAUUGAAUUUAAACAGA